GCACAGAGUUAGCCGGUGCUUAUUCUGCGAGUAACGUCCACUCUCCAGUAGUAUUAAUACUGGGAGCCUCCUCCUCGCUUAAAGUGCUUUACAACCAAAAGGCCUUCUUCACACACGCGGCAUGGCUGGAUCAGGGUUCCCCCCAUUGUCCAAUAUUCCCCA
This 162-nucleotide ribosomal RNA is filed under the name uncultured bacterium. Its description in RNAcentral is "partial 16S ribosomal RNA". The record is from RNAcentral.